CGGCGGACGGGUGAGUAACGCGUGGGUAACCUGCCUCAUACAGGGGGAUAACAGUUAGAAAUGACUGCUAAUACCGCAUAAGACCACAGGGCCGCAUGGCCCGGUGGUAAAAACUCCGGUGGUAUGAGAUGGACCCGCGUCUGAUUAGCUGGUUGGUAGGGUAACGGCCUACCAAGGCAACGAUCAGUAGCCGACCUGAGAGGGUGACCGGCCACAUUGGGACUGAGACACGGCCCAAACUCCUACGGAAGGCAGCAG
This 258-nucleotide ribosomal RNA is filed under the name uncultured bacterium. Its description in RNAcentral is "partial 16S ribosomal RNA". It matches the Rfam family "Bacterial small subunit ribosomal RNA", at positions 96 to 354 of the family's 1533-position model. The record is from RNAcentral.